Molecule: ribosomal RNA, 1285 nt
Filed under: metagenome
Description: bacterial LSU rRNA
Rfam family: Bacterial large subunit ribosomal RNA
Source: RNAcentral
GUAUUGGUGAGGUGCCCGUACCGCAAACCGACACAGGUAGAUGAGGAGAGAAUCCUAAGGCCAGCGGGAGAAGGGUUGUUAAGGAACUCGGCAAAUUGACCCCGUAACUUCGGAAUAAGGGGAGCCUCCCACGGGAGGCCGCAGUGAAAAGGCUCAAGCGACUGUUUACCAAAAACACAGGUCUCUGCUAAAUCGAAAGAUGACGUAUAGGGGCUGACGCCUGCCCGGUGCCGGAAGGUUAAGAGGAGAGCUUAGCGCAAGCGAAGGUUUGAAUUGAAGCCCCGGUAAACGGCGGCCGUAACAAUAACGGUCCUAAGGUAGCGAAAUUCCUUGUCAGGUAAGUUCUGACCCGCACGAAUGGCGUAACGACUUGAGCACUGUCUCGACAGCCCGCCCGGCGAAAUUGUAGUACCGGUGAAGAUGCCGGUUACCCGCAACUAGACGGAAAGACCCCAUGGAGCUUUACUGUAGCUUAAUACUGAAGAUUGGUAAUGCAUGUAUAGGAUAGGUGGGAGACUAAGAAGCCCGGCCGUCAGGUCGAGUGGAGUCAUUGUUGGAAUACCACCCUUGUGUUGCUGGUUUUCUAACCUGCCGCCAUGAAUCUGGUGGGGGGACACUGUUAGGUGGGCAGUUUGACUGGGGCGGUCGCCUCCAAAAAGGUAACGGAGGCGCUCAAAGGUUGGCUCAGCACGGACGGGAAUCGUGCACAGAGCGCAAACGCAUAAGCCAACUUGACUGCGAGAGAGACAUUUCGAGCAGGUACGAAAGUAGGAGUUAGUGAUCCGGCGGUAUGCAAGUGGAAGUGCCGUCGCUCAACGGAUAAAAGCUACCCUGGGAUAACAGGCUGAUCUCCCCCAAGCGUCACAGCGACGGGGAGGUUUGGCACCUCGAUGUCGGCUCGUCACAUCCUGGGGCUGUAUUCGGUCCCAAGGGUUCGGCUGUUCGCCGAUUAAAGUGGCACGCGAGCUGGGUUCAGAACGUCGUGAGACAGUUCGGUCCCUAUCUGUUGCGGGCGUAGGAGAUUUGAAGGGGGCUGUCCUUAGUACGAGAGGACCGGGAUGGACAGACCUCUGGUGCACCAGUUGUCGUGCCAACGGCACAGCUGGGUAGCUAAGUCGGGACGAGAUAAACGCUGAAAGCAUCUAAGCGUGAAACUUUCCCUAAGAUAAGAUCUCCCAUCUCUUCGGAGAGUAAGGGACGAUGAAGACUACAUCGUUGAUAGGUCGGAGGUGUAAGCACAGUAAUGUGUGUAGCUGACCGAUACUAAUAACCCGAGGGCUUGACC